UGAGGUACACUCCCACAUCGUCCAGACGAGGAUUCAGAGUACGCUUUAUAUAGGAUUUGCCUGCAGGUAAGCUCGUCCCUUCGGGGACAUCCGAUAAAAUUGGAACGAUACAGAGAAGAUUAGCAUGGCCCCUGCGCAAGGAUGACACGCAUAAAUCGAGAAAUGGUCCAAAUUUUUUUUUGAAUCCGUCCAAUCAAACGGUUUCAAUCUCCUUCGUUUCGCUGCAUUCAAGUUGGCAACCAGCACUGCAUCUUUCUGCAAAGAUGGAGAGGAGUGAAGGGCAAAAUUUUCGCGUCCGAAAUUUAGAGAAGUCAGAUAAAAGCAAGGGUUUCAUACAACUGUUGCAACAGCUAACUGUUUGUGAUUCUGUAUCUGACAAGGAGUUUGCAGAUAGGUUCGGAGAGAUUAGCUCCCUCGGAGAUGACCAUGUUAUCUGUGUUUCACGUUCCAAUUUUGGUGAAUUGUUAUGAUUCCUGCUUGUAAUCUCAAGUGGUUUUCAUGAUAAUAGUGUCUUGAUACCUUGUGGUGUUUAAUCUAAUGGAGGAAACAUUUAUGGAUGGUGGAAUAACUGCAACCGGUUGAUGUUUACCAACGCACACUUAUUGCGUAGUCCUCAAGGUAUACGGGGCCAUCCCCGUUGCUUAGUCCCUUGAAAGAGGAAGAAGUACCCGAAGAAGCCGAUCGAGUAAACCACGGCAGAGAAGCAAGAGAGCAGAAGGAGCAAGAUUUCGGGGAAGUCAUGGCAUCAAUUGGAAUGAUGAGUAUUAGAGGGGAAAGCAUGGAAUGAAGACCGGAAGUGUACAUGCACAUUUUGAAGUGAAUUUCCAGUGCUGAGUGCUCUAAAUUUUCAUCCCAUAUUUCUCACCCAACAGCUUUGUAACAAUUAUUAUUAUUACAAGUUUGUCCGGCAUAAAAUUACUUUCAAUGAAAUAAGAUCUCUUUCAAACAAAGAUAAAGGACAUCUCCGAUGGAGAGGAAUAAAUGUCCAAAAACCAAAAAAUAGUUUGAUCUGUUCAAAAAUUCAUCUCUAACCGAAGGUUAGGCUAUAAUUCUAUGGA
RNA transcript from Pyrus x bretschneideri (Chinese white pear), 1058 nucleotides. It is a transcript of the gene named eukaryotic translation initiation factor 3 subunit B, with no coding region annotated. Lineage: Eukaryota; Viridiplantae; Streptophyta; Magnoliopsida; Rosales; Rosaceae. The record is from RefSeq and is a predicted model, not a curated record. The transcript has 3 exons.